Molecule: ribosomal RNA, 325 nt
Filed under: uncultured eukaryote
Lineage: Eukaryota
Description: partial 18S ribosomal RNA
Rfam family: Eukaryotic small subunit ribosomal RNA
Source: RNAcentral
CCCUUAGAUGAUUUGGGCUGCACGCGCGCUACACUGACCCUAACAAUGAGCAACUGUCUGGCCUGAGAUGGCUGGGUAGCCUUUUCAACCCAUGUCAUGAUUGGGCUAGAUUUUUGUAAGUCUUGAUCUCUAACGAGGAAUCCCUAGUAUGCGUGAAUCAUCAAUCCAUGCAGAUUAUGUCCCUGCCCUUUGUACACACCGCCCGUCGCUCCUACUGAUUGGGUGAUCCGGUGAAUAAUUCGGACUGCAGCACUGCUUGGUCUCCAGGCUUUGCAGCGGAAAGUUUAGUGAACCUUAUCACUUAGAGGAAGGAGAAGUCGUAACA